CUUAACACAUGCAAGUCGAACGGUAACGCGAGCUAGGUUUACUAGCUUGGCGACGAGUGGCGGACGGGUGAGUAACGCGUAGGAAUCUACCUCGGAGCGGGGGAUAACUUUGGGGAAACUCAAGCUAAUACCGCAUACGCCCUAUGGGGGAAAGUUGGGGAUCUUCGGACCUGACACUCUGAGAGGAGCCUGCGUUAGAUUAGCUUGUUGGUGGGGUAAUGGCCUACCAAGGCGACGAUCUAUAGCUGGUCUGAGAGGAUGAUCAGCCACACUGGGACUGAGACACGGCCCAGACUCCUACGGGAGGCAGCAGUGGGGAAUAUUGGACAAUGGGGGAAACCCUGAUCCAGCGAUGCCGCGUGUGUGAAGAAGGCCUGCGGGUUGUAAAGCACUUUCAGUGAGGAGGAAAAGCUAUAUGCUAAUAUCAUGUAGCCCUGACGUUACUCACAGAAGAAGCACCGGCUAACUCUGUG
RNAcentral lists this ribosomal RNA (473 nucleotides) under uncultured bacterium. RNAcentral describes it as "bacterial SSU rRNA". It matches the Rfam family "Bacterial small subunit ribosomal RNA", at positions 47 to 507 of the family's 1533-position model. The record is from RNAcentral.